CACGGGUCACGGGGAAUGCGCAUGCGCAAAUGACAUCUGUGGAUUUCCCAUGAUCCGUAAC
This 61-nucleotide microRNA precursor is filed under the name Capitella teleta. Its description in RNAcentral is "Cte-Mir-1986_pre stem-loop". The record is from RNAcentral. Lineage: Eukaryota; Metazoa; Annelida; Polychaeta; Capitellidae.